GAUGAACGCUAGCGGCAGGCCUAACACAUGCAAGUCGAGGGGUAGCAGGAUUAAGCUUGCUUAAUUGCUGACGACCGGCGCACGGGUGCGUAACGCGUAUGCAACCUACCUUAUACUGGGGUAUAGCCCGGAGAAAUUCGGAUUAAUCCCCCAUAGUACUAAUGAAUCGCAUGGUUUAUUAGUUAAAGCAUUGCGGUAUAAGAUGGGCAUGCGUCCUAUUAGCUAGAUGGUGAGGUAACGGCUCACCAUGGCUACGAUAGGUAGGGGGCCUGGGAGGGUGGGCCCCCACACUGGUACUGAGAAACGGACCAGACUCCUACGGGAGGCAGCAGUGAGGAAUAUUGGUCAAUGGGCGCAAGCCUGAACCAGCCAUGCCGCGUGCAGGAAGAAUGCCCUAUGGGUUGUAAACUGCUUUUAUUUGGGAAUAAACCUCUUUACGUGUAGAGAGCUGAAGGUACCAAAUGAAUAAGCACCGGCUAACUCCGUGCCAGCCGCCGCGGUAA
This 503-nucleotide ribosomal RNA is filed under the name uncultured bacterium. RNAcentral describes it as "partial 16S ribosomal RNA". It matches the Rfam family "Bacterial small subunit ribosomal RNA", at positions 28 to 523 of the family's 1533-position model. The record is from RNAcentral.